This 228-nucleotide ribosomal RNA is filed under the name uncultured Acidobacteriota bacterium. RNAcentral's name for it is "uncultured Acidobacteria bacterium partial 16S ribosomal RNA". It matches the Rfam family "Bacterial small subunit ribosomal RNA", at positions 136 to 360 of the family's 1533-position model. Lineage: Bacteria; Pseudomonadati; Acidobacteriota. The record is from RNAcentral.
GUGGGGAAUAACCCGGGGAAACCCGAGCUAAUACCGCAUAAUGCAGCGGCACCUAAUGGUGACUGCCGAUAAGAAGAGCAAUCCGCUUGAAGAGGAGCUUGCGGCAGAUUAGCUUGUUGGUAAGGUAACGGCUUACCAAGGCAACGAUCUGUAUCCGGUCUAAGAGGACGGUCGGACACACUGACACUGAAUAACGGGUCAGACUCCUACGGGAGGCAGCAGUCGGGA